UCACCGCUCAGGCCCGGCCUGGUGUUGGGGCUCCCGCGGCCUGUCCCGCGGGCUCCUGAAAGAUAGUGGCGGGCUCGCUAGCGACCCUGGGCGGGGUAAAGCCGCUCGCCGGUGGUGUCCUAGCGGGCCUCCGGCCGGAAAACCCCGCCUCUCCCGUCCGCACGGGGUGGUGGUGUCUUUC
This 181-nucleotide unclassified non-coding RNA is filed under the name uncultured Ascomycota. Its description in RNAcentral is "sequence contains ITS2". Lineage: Eukaryota; Fungi; Ascomycota. The record is from RNAcentral.